AGUGAACGCUGGCGGUAGGCCUAACACAUGCAAGUCGAACGGCAGCACAGUAAGAGCUUGCUCUUACGGGUGGCGAGUGGCGGACGGGUGAGGACUACAUCGGAAUCUACUUUUUCGUGGGGGAUAACGUAGGGAAACUUACGCUAAUACCGCAUACGACCUACGGGUGAAAGCAGGGGAUCUUCGGACCUUGCGCGAUUGAAUGAGCCGAUGUCGGAUUAGCUAGUUGGCGGGGUAAAGGCCCACCAAGGCGACGAUCCGUAGCUGGUCUGAGAGGAUGAUCAGCCACACGGGAACGGAGACACGGUCCAGACUCCUACGGGAGGCAGCAGUGGGGAAUAUUGGACAAUGGGCGAAAGCCUGAUCCAGCAAUACCGCGUGGGUGAAGAAGGCCUUCGGGUUGUAAAGCCCUUUUGUUGGGAAAGAAAAGCAGCAGGUUAAUACCCCGCUGUUCUGACGGUACCCAAAGAAUAAGCACCGGCUAACUUCGUG
RNAcentral lists this ribosomal RNA (492 nucleotides) under uncultured bacterium. RNAcentral describes it as "partial 16S ribosomal RNA". It matches the Rfam family "Bacterial small subunit ribosomal RNA", at positions 29 to 507 of the family's 1533-position model. The record is from RNAcentral.